This 1082-nucleotide long non-coding RNA is filed under the name Gouania willdenowi (blunt-snouted clingfish). Its description in RNAcentral is "lncRNA (ENSGWIG00000022610.1)". Lineage: Eukaryota; Metazoa; Chordata; Actinopteri; Blenniiformes; Gobiesocidae. The record is from RNAcentral.
AAACAAACACACACACACACACACAAACCUCUGAGAGGGAGAAUGCAUCAUUAUUUUAUCCAUAUCUACUUUUUGAAUGAACAAAACCUCCACGUUAACCCACACACUGACCCGUCACUCUCACACUCACACACAGGCCGGGUCUCUGUUGCUAAUCUUCUUACCAAUCACAAGGUUUGACCGUUGAAACAGAACAAAGUUCACUCAGUCAGCAACAAACCUACGGUGAACACAGAAGAGAAUCUGAACACUUUCUUUGGACGUUCCUACCUCUCCACGGCAGAUUAAUCUAACAUUAUCCCAACCAUGUGUCCAUAAAAACCAUUCAUUUCCUUAAAAGCUUUCAAUUUGAUUCCAUUUCCUUUGACUUCUGCUUGAAUUCAACUGGAAGAGUUUCAGCUUCGGAAAAACUGCAUCGUGAAUCAAAACAGAAACCUGAGGAAUCGGAGACGUGUCCAGCAUGGAGGUGCUACACGGGCCCUGGGCCGACCUGGCUCUCGUGCUACGACAGACCAUCACACACUCAGACGCAGACACACACAGCUUUGUUCUACUGUGGCUGUGUGUGCUGGUGCUGUUCCUCUCCGUCAGUGCUCUGCUGCUGCAGAUGAUCGUCUACUUCCAGUGGAAGCUCAGACAAGUGACCCAUGAAGCAGCUUUGUCUGGAUUUGUGCAGGACAGAAGCGCCUCCUACAGGAAAGUGUCUGGAAGUGCACACCUGAGGAACAAUGUGGGCUCUCAUUCUUACACCUAAGGGGAAAAGAACCUACAUAAUCCUGCAAUGUACAGAAAAUAUUGACAGUCAGAUUGGAUAAGUGGUUUUUAGUCAAACAUGAUGCUUUUUUUUUUUUUUUUUUUAAAGAGUUGAAAAAUGGUUAAAAGCUAAUCGGUCACGUGAUCAUCUUUAAUAGCCUUUUUCAAUAAGAAAUUGUUUAGGUUAAUUGUAAGUAAUUUAAACAUUAUGUCCAUGUCUGUAUCUUUUAUUGUCCAUGUCUUAUAUGCAGAAGUUGCAAAGGUACUAGUCUUCUGUACUCGAGUAAAAGUAUAGCUACUUGAAUAAAAAAUGACUCUGGUAAAAGUCA